This 253-nucleotide ribosomal RNA is filed under the name uncultured bacterium. RNAcentral's name for it is "partial 16S ribosomal RNA". It matches the Rfam family "Bacterial small subunit ribosomal RNA", at positions 524 to 776 of the family's 1533-position model. The record is from RNAcentral.
UACGGAGGGUGCAAGCGUUGUCCGGAUUUAUUGGGUUUAAAGGGUGCGUAGGUGGCCCUGCAAGUCUGUGGUGAAAGCCUGCCGCUUAACGGCAGAACUGCCAUGGAUACUACAGGGCUUGAGUCCAGACGAGGUUGGCGGAAUGGAUGGUGUAGCGGUGAAAUGCAUAGAUACCAUCCAGAACCCCGAUUGCGUAGGCAGCUGACUAGGCUGGUACUGACACUGAGGCACGAAAGCGUGGGGAGCGAACAGG